Molecule: long non-coding RNA, 518 nt
Filed under: Lathyrus oleraceus (garden pea)
Lineage: Eukaryota; Viridiplantae; Streptophyta; Magnoliopsida; Fabales; Fabaceae
Description: Pisum sativum (pea) long non-coding RNA (PSAT_LNC007844)
Source: RNAcentral
AUGUUAUUAUUUUAAUUUUAUCAAGGUUAUUUAAAAAGUUGUGAAUUUUAUUUGAUUCAAUUGAUUAAAAUUGUUUUAAAUCGAUUAAGUCAUCUAAAAAAUGCAUUAUAUACAUUUUUGAUUUAUUUAAAUAAUGUGUGUUUCUUGGUGUGCUUCUUUGAUUCAAUCUGAAUCGUUGAUUCAAAUUAAUCAAGGAUCUAAGUUCAUAAUCCAUGUACAUUUUAUCAUCCGAUCAGAAUUUAGAAAUAAAUUGAAUAAUAAUUAAAAAAAAUGAAAAUAAAAGAAAACUCUCUUCUUCCAACAGUAAUAAAAAAAUAAUAUUAAAAAAGAGAAAAGAAAAAGUAAUAAAAGACUCCCACCACUCACUCACUGUGAGGAAGGAAAAAAAUGAAAAGAGACAAAAAAAUAAAAAAGAGAAAGAAACUCCUUCAUCUUCCGUCCACCUACCACCAUCUCCAUUUUCACUUCCUCUUCACCAUUCUCCACCGCUUCACCUUCCACACACCAUACCGUCUUCG